GACGAACGCUGGCGGCGUGCUAUACAUGCAAGUAGAACGCUGAAGGGAGAGCUUGCUCUUCUGGAUGAGUUGCGAACGGGUGAGUACGCGUAGGUAACCUGCCUGGUAGCGGGGGAUAACUAUUGGAAACGAUAGCUAAUACCGCAUAACAUUGACUAUUGCAUGAUAGUCAAUUGAAAGGUGCAAUUGCACCACUACCAGAUGGACCUGCGUUGUAUUAGCUAGUUGGUGGGGUAACGGCUCACCAAGGCGACGAUACAUAGCCGACCUGAGAGGGUGAUCGGCCACACUGGGACUGAGACACGGCCCAGACUCCUACAGGAGGCAGCAGUAGGGAAUCUUCGGCAAUGGACGGAAGUCUGACCGAGCAACGCCGCGUGAGUGAAGAAGGUUUUCGGAUCGUAAAGCUCUGUUGUAAGAGAAGAACGAGUGUGAGAGUGGAAAGUUCACACUGAUGACGGUAUCUUACCAGAAA
This 475-nucleotide ribosomal RNA is filed under the name Streptococcus cristatus. RNAcentral describes it as "bacterial SSU rRNA". It matches the Rfam family "Bacterial small subunit ribosomal RNA", at positions 28 to 489 of the family's 1533-position model. Lineage: Bacteria; Bacillati; Bacillota; Bacilli; Lactobacillales; Streptococcaceae. The record is from RNAcentral.